GAUGAACGCUAGCUACAGGCUUAACACAUGCAAGUCCGAGGGGCAUCAGGAAGAAAGCUCGCUUUUCUUCGCCGGCGACCGGCGCACGGGUGAGUCAACACGUCAUCCAACCCGCCCCUUACUCGGGGAAUAGCCUUUUCGAAAGAAAGAUUAAUACCCCGAUCGGGAUAAUCAUUUCCGCACGGUUUCGAUUAUUAAAGGAAUUCCGGUAAAGGAAGGGGACGCGCUCCAUUAAGUUCGUUGGUGAGGUAACGGCUCACCAAGCCUUCGAUGGAUAGGGGUUUCUGAGAGGAAGGUCCCCCACAUUGGAACUGAGACACGGUCCAAACUCCUACGGGAGGCAGCAGUGAGGAAUAUUGGUCAAUGGGCGCGAGCCUGAACCAGCCAAGUAGCGUGAAGGAAGACUGCCCUAUGGGUUGUAAACUUCUUUUAUAUUAGAAUAAAGUGCAGUAUGUAUACUGUUUUGUAUGUAUAAUAUGAAUAAGGAUCGGCUAACUCCGUGCCAGCAGCCGCGGUAAUACGGAGGAUUCCGAGCGUUAUCCGGAUUUAUUGGGUUUAAAGGGAGCGUAGGUGGACUGGUAAGUCAGUUGUGAAAGUUUGCGGCUCAACCGUAAAAUUGCAGUUGAUACUGUCAGUCUUGAGUACAGUAGAGGUGGGCGGAAUUCGUGGUGUAGCGGUGAAAUGCUUAGAUAUCACGAAGAACUCCGAUUGCGAAGGCAGCUCACUGGACUGCAACUGACACUGAUGCUCGAAAGUGUGGGUAUCAAACAGGAUUAGAUACCCUGGUAGUCCACACAGUAAACGAUGAAUACUCGCUGUUUGCGAUAUACAGUAAGCGGCCAAGCGAAAGCAUUAAGUAUUCCACCUGGGGAGUACGCCGGCAACGGUGAAACUCAAAGGAAUUGACGGGGGCCCGCACAAGCGGAGGAACAUGUGGUUUAAUUCGAUGAUACGCGAGGAACCUUACCCGGGCUUAAAUUGCAGUGGAAUGAUGUGGAAACAUGUCAGUGAGCAAUCACCGCUGUGAAGGUGCUGCAUGGUUGUCGUCAGCUCGUGCCGUGAGGUGUCGGCUUAAGUGCCAUAACGAGCGCAACCCUUAUCUUCAGUUACUAACAGGUCAUGCUGAGGACUCUGGAGAGACUGCCGUCGUAAGAUGUGAGGAAGGUGGGGAUGACGUCAAAUCAGCACGGCCCUUACGUCCGGGGCUACACACGUGUUACAAUGGGGGGUACAGAAGGCAGCUACCUGGUGACAGGAUGCUAAUCCCAAAAGCCUCUCUCAGUUCGGAUCGAAGUCUGCAACCCGACUUCGUGAAGCUGGAUUCGCUAGUAAUCGCGCAUCAGCCACGGCGCGGUGAAAUACGUUCCCGGGCCU
Molecule: ribosomal RNA, 1374 nt
Filed under: uncultured bacterium
Lineage: Bacteria
Description: bacterial SSU rRNA
Rfam family: Bacterial small subunit ribosomal RNA
Source: RNAcentral